This 1382-nucleotide long non-coding RNA is filed under the name Sarcophilus harrisii (Tasmanian devil). RNAcentral's name for it is "lncRNA (ENSSHAG00000025727.1)". Lineage: Eukaryota; Metazoa; Chordata; Mammalia; Dasyuromorphia; Dasyuridae. The record is from RNAcentral.
CAACGCUUGGUGGGGAGGAGGGGGCGCCGGAGCUGCGCGGUCGCCAGAUCCCGCCGCCGCCGCCGCCGCCGCCGGGCUUGAAAGGAAAGCCAUCUUUUAUUUAUGGCCAGGGAGGCCGGACGCCCCCGCGGGCCGGGCCCUGGCAGCCGGGAGGCGGCCUCGGCGGGUCCGGGCACCCAGCGGGGGCGCUCACGCCGGGGGGGCCUCGGGGGCUCGGGCGGCCCGGAGUGAGGGGAGCCCGAGCCGCAGCCUGGGAGGGCCGGGGGCGGCCCCAGCUGUGCCGGGGCUCUGCGCUGGCCCGAUGCAGCCACACGCCCAGUCACACUCACAGAUACCCGCUGACACUGACACACACCCACUGCCACACUCACAGACAUACACUGACACACACACACUCAGACACACUGACUCACACAUACACACUUACAGACACACUCACACACUCACACACACCCCCAGCUGCCCUCCGCUAGCACAAGGACGCCUGUGGCCGCUUCCCGCCCCGGAUGCUCCCGCUCGCUGCCCGACUCCUUCGGUUGCCCCGUUCUCACCCCGGCCCAGCUCUGCGCCCCAAAGAGAGCUGAGGCUUCCGGUUCUUGGGGAAAGCCCUUGGAGCCGGAUCUGGCCGGAGCAGAGCUGGCGCCCCCGCUGCUCCCUCCAGCUCCUCAGGCCUGAUGUCGGCAGGAGACCCGGCACAAGGAAAGGUCAGCCUGGCCGCCGGCUCCAAGGCCCGGAGGAGGAAUGAGUCCCAUGAACAGCACAGGCCCCUCCCGGGAUCCCUCAGCCUCUACCCCAAGGGCAGCAACUCUCGGGGGCUUUCGGCCUUCCACAAUGCUUCCACCCAUCCCUCCCUCUGAUUCUCGCCCAAAGCCAAGAGGGCAGCAAAGCGCUCUGUGGCUGCUGUCCAGCAGGGGAGUGGGCUGCCGGAGACAGUGAGCUCCCCGAGGCCGGAAGUGUCCAAGCACCAUCGGUGAUCACGUGUCAGGGAUGUUGUAGAAGACCUCAGCGAGGGUCGGGUCAGAUGGGUCCCGAAGGGCCCUCUUCCCUCCCCCACACCCCCAAGUAAGGGCUUCUCCCCCAAAUUGCUUUGUGAUCAUUGUAUCUAUGUGUGGGUCUCCUUCAACAAAACAGAUGAUCCUCGAAGGCAGAGCUGGUUUCAUUUGGACUAAACCUUUUGUUUGCCUGGUAUACAAUAGAUGUUUAAUAAAUGCUUUUUUAUCAAGAUUCUCUGGGAUUCUCUUUUCUCUUCCACAAAACGAAGAGCUGAGAUCUGAUGGUGACAGAGUCUUAGAUUUCAAAAUGAAAGGGACCACAUCCUCCACCCCCUCAAAUAACAGAAAAGGGCACCGAGGCUCAGAACACCUAAGGAGAGAGACUUGCUC